This 467-nucleotide ribosomal RNA is filed under the name uncultured bacterium. Its description in RNAcentral is "partial 16S ribosomal RNA". It matches the Rfam family "Bacterial small subunit ribosomal RNA", at positions 28 to 506 of the family's 1533-position model. The record is from RNAcentral.
GACGAACGCUGGCGGCGUGCUUAACACAUGCAAGUCGAACGGAAAGGCCCUGCUUUUGUGGGGUGCUCGAGUGGCGAACGGGUGAGUAACACGUGAGUAACCUGCCCUUGACUUUGGGAUAACUUCAGGAAACUGGGGCUAAUACCGGAUAGGAGCUCCUGCUUCAUGGUGGGGGUUGGAAAGUUUCGGCGGUUGGGGAUGGACUCGCGGCUUAUCAGCUUGUUGGUGGGGUAGUGGCUUACCAAGGCUUUGACGGGUAGCCGGCCUGAGAGGGUGACCGGCCACAUUGGGACUGAGAUACGGCCCAGACUCCUACGGGAGGCAGCAGUGGGGAAUAUUGCACAAUGGGCGGAAGCCUGAUGCAGCAACGCCGCGUGCGGGAUGACGGCCUUCGGGUUGUAAACCGCUUUCGCCUGUGACGAAGCGUGAGUGACGGUAAUGGGGAAAGAAGCACCGGCUAACUACGU